This 484-nucleotide ribosomal RNA is filed under the name uncultured bacterium. RNAcentral describes it as "bacterial SSU rRNA". It matches the Rfam family "Bacterial small subunit ribosomal RNA", at positions 28 to 509 of the family's 1533-position model. The record is from RNAcentral.
GACGAACGCUGGCGGCGUGCUUAAAACAUGCAAGUCGAACGGACUUCUCAUGAAGCUUGCGAUUGAGAAGUUAGUGGCGGACGGGUGAGUAACGCGUGGAUAAUCUGCCCUUAAGUGUGGAAUAACGUACCGAAAGGUGCGCUAAUACCGCAUAAUGCCUGGCAACACAAGUUGUCCGGCCAAAGAAGGCCUCUGUUUACAAGCUUUCGCUUCAGGAUGAGUCCGCGUACCAUUAGCUUGUUGGUGGGGUAAUGGCCUACCAAGGCUGCGAUGGUUAGCUGGUCUGAGAGGAUGAUCAGCCACACUGGAACUGAGACACGGUCCAGACUCCUACGGGAGGCAGCAGUGAGGAAUAUUGCACAAUGGGCGAAAGCCUGAUGCAGCGACGCCGCGUGAGGGAAGACGGUCUUCGGAUUGUAAACCUCUGUCUUCGGUGACGACCAAAGACGGUAGCCGAGGAGGAAGCCACGGCUAACUACGUGCC